Molecule: long non-coding RNA, 350 nt
Filed under: Cicer arietinum (chickpea)
Lineage: Eukaryota; Viridiplantae; Streptophyta; Magnoliopsida; Fabales; Fabaceae
Description: long non-coding RNA (CARI_LNC003057)
Source: RNAcentral
AUGAAUCCUUUCGUAACUCAUUCCAAUAGAACACAAAAUUCGUUUAGCCUCGUAGGUUCGACUGAGAAGUUCAUUAUCAUCUGGCAACAUAUCUUUUAUGAGUGUUAAUAAUUCUGUAAAGCUUUUAUCAGACCAUCCAUUAUUCGCUUUUAAGUUGUACAACUUUAAUAUCGCUGACAGUCUUGUGAAUUUAGUACAACCAUUAGAUAAUUCUUUCUCUGCAUCACUCAACAAACUUUCAAACAUUUUAGGACAAUCUCGAAGAUCUUCUUCAACUGCUUUUGCAAUCUCAUCAACUCGGUCCGGCUCAUAUGUAUCUGUAUCGAAGUCAAUUGAAGCAUAUGUCGAAC